GCGGAUUGAAGGGGGGAGAUCUCUCUAAAUCCGGGCGAAAUGGGGGGUCGCCGUCGCCGGCGACGGCGAGGGGGACUCGGUGGUGGCGGGGAGGAGGCGGUGGCGGCAGAGCGGGCAGGUGGCGUGGUCGUAGUCGAGCCACUUCUCGAGGCAGGCGCGGUGGAAGAGGUGGCCGCAGGGGAGGCGGUUCACCACCGACUCCGGCUCGAACCGCGCGAGGCAGACGCGGCAGUCGGCCGCGCCCGCGCCCCCGCCUCGCCGCCGCCCGAACCUCGCCGGCCUGAACCUGCUCCGGAACCUGUCCGCCAGGCUCGGGCCCCCCGCCGCCGCGGCCGCGGCCGCGGCGGCCGCCGCGAUCGCCGCCAGCUGGUCGUCGCCGUCCUCCCACGCCGAGGGCGGCACGGGGAGGCCGAGGAACACCAGCGCCGCCCGCACCAUGUCCGCCAGGAUGGCGAUCGACACCGCCGUGUUGUACAGCAGGUACGCCACCACGCUGUCCUUGGGCGCCGGCAUG
This 514-nucleotide long non-coding RNA is filed under the name Oryza sativa (Asian cultivated rice). Its description in RNAcentral is "long non-coding RNA (OSAT_LNC001545)". Lineage: Eukaryota; Viridiplantae; Streptophyta; Magnoliopsida; Poales; Poaceae. The record is from RNAcentral.